Long non-coding RNA from Hypanus sabinus (Atlantic stingray), 240 nucleotides. RefSeq lists it as uncharacterized. The transcript has 3 exons. The record is from RefSeq and is a predicted model, not a curated record. NCBI's taxonomy places the organism in Eukaryota, Metazoa, Chordata, Chondrichthyes, Myliobatiformes, Dasyatidae.
UUAAUCCUUGUUACAUGAGCUCUAAUAAUGUAGCACAACCAAGAUGGAUGAGAUUUAGUUGUUGAAAAUGUUGUUCAAAGAGUAUGUCUCAAGCCUCCACAAGUCUGAGCUAAAAUCAUGCAGAGACUUUUUCCUUGCAGACCAGCAUCUUGACAUUAAAUUAUUAGUCCUGACGAAGGAUCUCGGCCCGAAAUGUCGACAGUGCUUCUCCUUAUAGAUGAUGCCUGGCCUGCUGUGUUC